UCAACCAUCAAGCCUGGCUUGUCGUUGGACCCCUUUGCAGCUGAAAUAUGCAGCAGGUCCGAAAGAUAAUGACGGCGUCGUGUUUGACCCUAGAUGCAAUGAGCUUUUUUAUAGCACGCAUUGAAGUGGUUGACCGACCCGGUCUUUAACCAUCAUUUUCUAA
RNAcentral lists this unclassified non-coding RNA (163 nucleotides) under uncultured fungus. Its description in RNAcentral is "sequence contains ITS2". The record is from RNAcentral. Lineage: Eukaryota; Fungi.